Laticauda laticaudata (blue-ringed sea krait) is the source of this 1359-nucleotide long non-coding RNA. The record is from Ensembl. NCBI's taxonomy places the organism in Eukaryota, Metazoa, Chordata, Lepidosauria, Squamata, Elapidae.
CAGAAUCACAUUUGAGGUGAAUGUUCCUCAGGCAGAUACAGCACAUGAUUUUUAGAAUAGUUUUGUAGUCAGCUCAGGUUAACAAUUACAGACAAACUUGCAAGCACAUUCCCAGCCAAACAACAGACCCUAACACAGAUGGGGUGGGGUGGGGGGAAUGGAGGGAACACACCAAAUCUGAUGAUGAUGAUCUUCUUCUUCUUCUUCUUCUUCUUCUUCUUCUUCUUCUUCUUCUUCUUCUUCUUCUUCUUCUUCUUCUUCUUCUUCUUCUCCUUCUUCUUCUUCUUCUCCUCCUCCUCCUCCUCCCUCCUCUUCUUCUUCUUCUUUCAAAAGGUAGAAUACUUGCCUUCUCUUCUUCCAGUCUCCAAAUUUGGGAAUUUCCUCCCGGGCACUUUUCAACUUCGUCUACUUUGUGAAGCGCCCUCGCAAGGAAUGUAAUAUUCUAGAUGGGGAGGACUAGGGUGAGCAACGCGGGCGAAGAAAAACUCCGUUGAGAGCAGAUGAUAAAAGAUGAAGGGAAACGAAGGUCGGAAGCCAGCAGAGAGCAGGGCCGCUGAAUGAAGAAGGGAAGGAGGGAAGGGAGGGAAAGCUGUGGAAAAAGGUGUGGAGCGGCGGAAUGCUUGGAGAGCGAUCAAGAGGAAAGGGAGCGUUGCUGGAAAGAGAAGGCAGGGGAAGCGGGGAGGGUCUCCGAAAAAGGGACGGGAAGCCGAGCGAACGUUUCGGGGUGUUAUUCUUUGUCCGGGCUUCUUUUUGCACCCCACUUGGGAUUCGAGCAACGCCUCGGAGCUGGGAGCAGAACAGAGAAAAGCCGCCUUUGCAGGAAGGCGUGAAGAUCGCUGGAGGGAGGGAACACCCGCGAUCCUAAGAAAAGGUGCUCGGGGGUGCCCGAAGGCGCACCCAAGAGUUCCCUCCCUUCCCCGCCAGCGCGACCUACCUGGCCGGCGAAGUUCAGCAGAACUUGCCACCCUCCUCCGCUCAGUCAGGAGCCGCUCCUGGGCAGCGGCACCCACCUCGCCACACACACACACACACACACACACACCCCGCCCCCCCCCACAAUGCACCGCUGCCAACUCACAGUCUCUCCUCGGCCGCCCGCAGCCCAGUCCAAGCGAAGCCGAGGCAAGGCCGGGCAAGCCGCCACCUCCCCGCGCCCGAAGGCCGGCUGGAAGUGGAGAGUCAGGACCGCCCCCUGCUGGCUAUAAACUCUUCUUUCUUGGGCCAUUGAUGGACAUUCCACAGAGAAAAAACAAUAGAGGUAAUAAAACAUGGCCAUGGAAUGCAAGGAGAAGAAAGAAAUUCAACCUUCUGUCCCCAACCACCCAGAUCUCAAUAAGCUCUGCCUUUACUACCCAAUGA